This 253-nucleotide ribosomal RNA is filed under the name uncultured bacterium. RNAcentral describes it as "partial 16S ribosomal RNA". It matches the Rfam family "Bacterial small subunit ribosomal RNA", at positions 524 to 776 of the family's 1533-position model. The record is from RNAcentral.
UACAGAGGACCCGAGCGUUGUUCGGAUUCACUGGGCGUAAAGGGUGCGCAGGUGGGUUUGCAAGUUUGAUGUGAAAGCCCCGGGCUUAACCCGGGAAUGGCAUUGAAUACUGCAGAUCUGGAGGAUUGGAGGGGGGACUGGAAUUCUUGGUGUAGCAGUGAAAUGCGUAGAUAUCAAGAGGAACACCAGUGGCGAAGGCGAGUCCCUGGACAAUACCUGACACUGAGGCACGAAAGCCAAGGGAGCAAACAGG